AGUAUGAUUUUGUUUUUUAGGUAAAAUUUUUUUAUUUUUAAUAUUUUUUUAUAAAAAUAUUUUUUUAUAAUAUUUUUUUUAAAUUGCUCUUAAUUUUUUUAUUUAAAUUUUAAAAUUUAUGACCAAAUUUUUUAACGAAAAAAAUUAUAAAAUAAAAAAAAAAGAAAAGGAAAAGAAAACGGACCAAAGGAAGAAAGAGAAUUACGGAAAAAGGAAGAAAAAGAAGAGGGAAGGGAAGGAGAAGAAAGGAGAAGGGAAGGUGAAGACGACGCUAGCGAGCGAGGGCGGACGUCGAGCUAGCAAAUUGGCGAGGAAGGAUGUUUGCCGUGUCGCCGUUCUGUGCGACCUCUUCGCUAGCUCGCAGAUCUAUGGUUCAGGAAUUCACCGGCAUCCCUUCUCCGCCCUUCUCCUCCGCUCUAACACGCACUAAGCCCAAGCCCAAACCCAAACCCAAACCCAAACCCGCUAUUAUUCCAUCAUCACAAUCACACUAGCAGCAUGCUUGAUGCUAUGGCUUCUACUACCACCGCCUCCAACAACCUCCUGUUCUUCCUUUACCCUAUCACCACACGAAUCUAACCAUGCAAAACAACAACCCUACCACCACUACUACCGGUCCUUCAACAAUGUUCCUGCAGGGUUUGCUAGCAAGUCUAUCCAUGGCGCCAUCGCUUCAUCAGGCGCCGAACUAUAAUAACAAUAAUGUGCAACUGAUGAUACCACAUGAUCAAGAACAUGUAGCUUCUGAUGAAGGCUUUGUUAUCAAACUCGGAAGUUGCCACUUGCUUGAUAUUUCUUUGAUUCCAUACAAUUGGGGAAGUGUUUGUUAUUAUUGAGGAGCCAGAUACUUAAUGCAAAGAACCCUAACUGUGUUAAAAGUCAACAUCAAUCACAGACACAUUCCAUUGCCUUGGAUGUUAGGACUCUAUCUUAUUUUGGAUCAGAUCGUCUCAUUAUUUUCCCUCCAUGUAGCAACAUUAACAUAUUAUUAUAAAAGAAAAAACAAUCAUGUCACGUUCGAAGGAAAAAAAA
Arachis stenosperma is the source of this 1032-nucleotide long non-coding RNA. RefSeq lists it as uncharacterized. Lineage: Eukaryota; Viridiplantae; Streptophyta; Magnoliopsida; Fabales; Fabaceae. The record is from RefSeq and is a predicted model, not a curated record. The transcript has 3 exons.